This 253-nucleotide ribosomal RNA is filed under the name uncultured bacterium. Its description in RNAcentral is "partial 16S ribosomal RNA". It matches the Rfam family "Bacterial small subunit ribosomal RNA", at positions 524 to 776 of the family's 1533-position model. The record is from RNAcentral.
UACGUAGGGGCCUAGCGUUGUUCGGAAUUACUGGGCGUAAAGCGUGUGUAGGUGGUUGCCAUAGUCAGGUGUGAAAGCCUUGAGCUCAACUCAAGAAAUGCACUUGAUACUGGGCAGCUAGAGGACCGGAGAGGAUAGUGGAAUUCCCAGUGUAGUGGUGAAAUACGUAGAGAUUGGGAAGAACACCAGUGGCGAAGGCGGCUAUCUGGACGGUUUCUGACACUAAGACACGAAAGCGUGGGGAGCAAACAGG